This 420-nucleotide ribosomal RNA is filed under the name Colletotrichum acutatum. Its description in RNAcentral is "eukaryotic LSU rRNA". The stretch from base 86 to 239 matches the Rfam family "5.8S ribosomal RNA". The record is from RNAcentral. Lineage: Eukaryota; Fungi; Ascomycota; Sordariomycetes; Glomerellales; Glomerellaceae.
CCACCACGGGGACGGGGCGCCCGCCGGAGGAAACCAAACUCUAUUUACACGACGUCUCUUCUGAGUGGCACAAGCAAAUAAUUAAAACUUUUAACAACGGAUCUCUUGGUUCUGGCAUCGAUGAAGAACGCAGCGAAAUGCGAUAAGUAAUGUGAAUUGCAGAAUUCAGUGAAUCAUCGAAUCUUUGAACGCACAUUGCGCUCGCCAGCAUUCUGGCGAGCAUGCCUGUUCGAGCGUCAUUUCAACCCUCAAGCACCGCUUGGUUUUGGGGCCCCACGGCCGACGUGGGCCCUUAAAGGUAGUGGCGGACCCUCCCGGAGCCUCCUUUGCGUAGUAACUAACGUCUCGCACUGGGAUCCGGAGGGACUCUUGCCGUUAAACCCCCAAAUUCUUUACAGGUUGACCUCGGAUCAGGUAGGA